GUUUCGGGGCGGGGUGCGAUUCCCCACCGGCGGUGAGAGUCCGCGACCCGCGAAAGCGGCUGAAUCGGUGAAAUUCCGAUACCGACGGUAUAGUCCGGAUGAAAGAA
RNAcentral lists this non-coding RNA (107 nucleotides) under human gut metagenome. RNAcentral's name for it is "FMN riboswitch (RFN element)". It matches the Rfam family "FMN riboswitch aptamer (RFN element)", at positions 8 to 131 of the family's 138-position model. From Rfam's summary of the family: The RFN element is a highly conserved domain that is found frequently in the 5'-untranslated regions of prokaryotic mRNAs that encode for flavin mononucleotide (FMN) biosynthesis and transport proteins. This element is a metabolite-dependent riboswitch that directly binds FMN in the absence of proteins. In Bacillus subtilis, the riboswitch most likely controls gene expression by causing premature transcription termination within the 5' untranslated region of the ribDEAHT operon and precluding access to the ribosome-binding site of ypaA mRNA. The record is from RNAcentral.